This 468-nucleotide ribosomal RNA is filed under the name uncultured bacterium. Its description in RNAcentral is "partial 16S ribosomal RNA". It matches the Rfam family "Bacterial small subunit ribosomal RNA", at positions 28 to 507 of the family's 1533-position model. The record is from RNAcentral.
GACGAACGCUGGCGGCGUGCUUAACACAUGCAAGUCGAACGGAAAGGCCCUGCUUUUGUGGGGUGCUCGAGUGGCGAAAGGGUGAGUAACACGUGAGUAACCUGCCCUUUACUUUGGGAUAACUUCAGGGAACUGGGGCUAAUACCGGAUAGGAGCUCCUGCUGCAUGGUGGGGGUUGGAAAGUUUCGGCGGUUGGGGAUGGACUCGCGGCUUAGCAGCUUGUUGGUGGGGUAGUGGCUUACCAAGGCUUUGACGGGUAGCCGGCCUGAGAGGGUGACCGGCCACAUUGGGACUGAGAUACGGCCCAGACUCCUACGGGAGGCAGCAGUGGGGAAUAUUGCACAAUGGGCGGAAGCCUGAUGCAGCAACGCCGCGUGCGGGAUGACGGCCUUCGGGUUGUAAACCGCUUUCGCCUGUGACGAAGCGUGAGUGACGGUAAUGGGUAAAGAAGCACCGGCUAACUACGUG